RNAcentral lists this ribosomal RNA (274 nucleotides) under uncultured bacterium. RNAcentral's name for it is "partial 16S ribosomal RNA". It matches the Rfam family "Bacterial small subunit ribosomal RNA", at positions 523 to 796 of the family's 1533-position model. The record is from RNAcentral.
AUACGGAGGGUGCAAGCGUUAUUCGGAAUCACUGGGCGUAAAGGACGCGUAGGCGGGUUGGCAAGUCAGAUGUGAAAUCCUACAGCUUAACUGUAGAACUGCAUUUGAAACUGCUAACCUAGAGUAUGGGAGGGGGAGAUGGAAUUAGUGGUGUAGGGGUAAAAUCCGUAGAUAUCACUGGGAAUACCGAAAGCGAAGGCGAUCUCCUGGAACAUAACUGACGCUAAGGCGUGAAAGCGUGGGGAGCAAACAGGAUUAGAAACCCUAGUAGUCC